Molecule: transfer RNA, 73 nt
Filed under: Micromonas pusilla CCMP1545
Lineage: Eukaryota; Viridiplantae; Chlorophyta; Mamiellophyceae; Mamiellales; Mamiellaceae
Rfam family: tRNA
About the family: Transfer RNA (tRNA) molecules are approximately 80 nucleotides in length. Their secondary structure includes four short double-helical elements and three loops (D, anti-codon, and T loops). Further hydrogen bonds mediate the characteristic L-shaped molecular structure. tRNAs have two regions of fundamental functional importance: the anti-codon, which is responsible for specific mRNA codon recognition, and the 3' end, to which the tRNAs corresponding amino acid is attached (by aminoacyl-tRNA synthetases). tRNAs cope with the degeneracy of the genetic code in two manners: having more than one tRNA (with a specific anti-codon) for a particular amino acid; and 'wobble' base-pairing, i.e. permitting non-standard base-pairing at the 3rd anti-codon position.
Source: Rfam by way of RNAcentral
GUUCCUGUAGUGUAGUGGUUUAGCACCUUGGACUUUGAAUCCAAUAACCCCAGUUCGACUCUGGGCGGGAACU